GCUUCACUGACAUGUCUGAAAACAGUGAUAGAUUUACUUUGAUCUUCUUCAGUGAAGGAUUUCAUCCUUUCUUUUUCAACCUGUGCUUCUAACUCGGCUAUUCUUUGUAAUGAUAAUUGUUCAACACAUGCACGACGUUUCCGUUCUUCUUCCAGCAACCCAGUCAUCUGAUACCGCAGCUCAGCCAUUUCUUGAGCUAAAUCCUCUGAUUCUUCUUUGGCUUUUAG
This 227-nucleotide unclassified non-coding RNA is filed under the name Hevea brasiliensis (rubber tree). The record is from RNAcentral. Lineage: Eukaryota; Viridiplantae; Streptophyta; Magnoliopsida; Malpighiales; Euphorbiaceae.